CCAGAUCUAGCUCAGUGGUAGAGUGCUUGCCUAGCACAUAGGAGGCCUUGGGUUAAAUUCCCAAUACUGGA
This 71-nucleotide transfer RNA is filed under the name Marmota marmota marmota (Alpine marmot). It matches the Rfam family "tRNA". From Rfam's summary of the family: Transfer RNA (tRNA) molecules are approximately 80 nucleotides in length. Their secondary structure includes four short double-helical elements and three loops (D, anti-codon, and T loops). Further hydrogen bonds mediate the characteristic L-shaped molecular structure. tRNAs have two regions of fundamental functional importance: the anti-codon, which is responsible for specific mRNA codon recognition, and the 3' end, to which the tRNAs corresponding amino acid is attached (by aminoacyl-tRNA synthetases). tRNAs cope with the degeneracy of the genetic code in two manners: having more than one tRNA (with a specific anti-codon) for a particular amino acid; and 'wobble' base-pairing, i.e. permitting non-standard base-pairing at the 3rd anti-codon position. Lineage: Eukaryota; Metazoa; Chordata; Mammalia; Rodentia; Sciuridae. RNAcentral also lists the same sequence under 3 other names. The record is from Rfam by way of RNAcentral.